CUCUGGUCUCUGGUGAUGGUGGGAUAGCACUGGCAUUGAGGAAGGAUGAAGGAAAGCUAUUGCAACCUUUUCUUUGUGCUUAUGGCCAAGGUUGAAGCACUGUAGCUCUCCCUGAAGGCAGUGUCCCUUUUCUCUUCUGCUGUAGCUUCACCUCUGCCCCAGGCAUUGCCACUUGCUACCAGUGGUAGGUGGGUCUUGUUGCUGUCUGUCAGCCUAGGGCAAGGAAACCAUUGCUCAUUCUGUACCAUCUCUGGUAGAUCUGCUAGAUUUGAGUCCUCUGAAAUAUGGCCCACAGGCUGGAUGGGAGCUUCACAGAAUCAUAAGGAUUGGAAGGAACCUCCAGAGAUUGAGUCCAACCCCCCGCCAAAGCAGGUUCCCUACACCAGGUCACACAGGUAGGUGACCUGCUGGCCACUC
RNAcentral lists this long non-coding RNA (417 nucleotides) under Coturnix japonica (Japanese quail). RNAcentral's name for it is "lncRNA (ENSCJPG00005018203.1)". Lineage: Eukaryota; Metazoa; Chordata; Aves; Galliformes; Phasianidae. The record is from RNAcentral.